CCAGCGUGAAGCCAGAGUAGAGCACCGCGUCCUUGACGAAGAUGCUCGCGGCGCGCAGCAUAAACGACAGGAACAUGUGCAUGUGGAUGUAGUUGCGCGUGCAGUGCAGGCGCCUGCGGGGCGUGCAACAUCACCGCGGGGGUCCACAGCAGGAGGUUGGGUUGCAGGACCCUGGAGAGAACCCAAGGCCAGGAACUGGCGGGUCCAGUGCUGGAUGAGGCGUGCCCGGAAGCCCGUGAAAUCGCACCACUAAAGGUCACAGCCAGACCCCCAAGUUUGUGGAGCUCCGGGGGAGACUGAUGGCGGAGACAGCGCAGUCCACACCGGCGCCCCAAUGAAGGCCCCUCCUCUUCACUUCCUCCCCUCCCUGCCAGAUUCUACAGGUUUGUGGCUGUGACAUGUCAGGAUUCUACCCCUUCAGACAAAACUGGAGGAGGUGAAGGAGUGCCUUUUCCAGUUCUGACACUUCUGCAUCUGUGCAAGCGGCUUCUAUUACAGAAUAUUUUAUUAGCAGGAUGCUCUUGGGUCACAUCAGCCACUCGUUUCUCAGGGUCAGCCUGGUCCCCUAAGGGACAGCGUGCUUUGCUUCCUUGCCUGCCACUAAGAAGGCAGCUCUAUUUGGUGUUCACCAUGGAUGUUCCUGUCCCACAAGACUUCUUUGUCUGAUGCCACUCAUGUCAACCUCAUCUUCUACGACACACCGUUUUUACAAAAGGGGAGACUGAGGCCUAGAGAAUGGUUAGAAGGAGAGGGCCAGGAGUGGGGCUAAGGCAAAGGAAAUGCCCAGCUGCACGGAUGGUGGGGCACCAGCCACCUUUGCUGCAUGAAGCAGGCAUCUACAGAGGGAGUUGAUUCGGUGGUGAACGUGCCCAUCGAGACAACAGUGUGAGGCUGGGGUGUGGCCGGCCCCUCUAACUGGACAGGGGACAGCUGCGCCAUGGUGUUAAGCAAGGAUGUGAAUGGCUCCGGCAAAGUGAAAAAGAAAUACUUGGCUCUCAGGAGAUGCCCUUGUGACCUUCUGGCCUUCCUGCACCCCUUCUCCAGGUCCUACUCCUGGGACCCAUGCUGGCACCUCUCGUUGACCCAUGUUGGCUGGCUGGAGACUGCUCUCUUGUCCCUUGCUGCCCUCUGUCCAUCUGGCUGGCCACAGCAGGCUGGGACGGGCUCCUCAUCCUGCCCAGCCACCACUGACAAGUGCUGACUUUUCCUCCCCCUUGCCAGGCCUUCCUGAACAGGCUGCCUGUGUUUGGGGCUGGGAGGGGUUGGGGGGGGAGGCACUGUGACGCCUCUCAUCCCAGCCAGCCAGCCAGCCAGCCAGCCAGCGUGGCCGCCUUUGGGGCAGGCGGUGGGAUAGAGCCUGGGAUGGCAGAGUUGGCUGCUAGGACAGGGUGGAUCUUCACGGCAGCCUCUACCUGGGCCAGGCAGGAGGACCAAGGCCUAGAAGGAUGGGAUGGCCUGGUGCUCAGCAUGGGUAAAAGGCUACCAGAGCUGGGGUUCUAAAGGGCUUGGGACGUCUCCAGUGUCGGGGAACCUGAGCAAACUCUGCCUCUCCUAGUCAUUUUAAAGAUGAUUUCAAAGAUGAUUUCAAGUUCUGCAAAAACCCCACCGUACCUUUUAUUUUUCCUGGGGCUCUCUGAAAUAGCUCCCUUCCUGAUGUGGUAGCUGGACCAGGGAGUGUCCCCAGAAGGCCCACAACAGGAAUCUGGGGGAGGCUGCUUGACGCCUCAUUAAAACAUUCCGAAGAAAACCCAAGUUCCCGGGAGGGCCUGUGCCCCCCUCCACUGCUCUGUCCUCAGGCAGUUCUGGGAGUUGGGGGGUAGGGGAGGAGGAUGUGUUUAAGGGCAGGUGAUAUAAAAAGCUUCAGCAAAUCAAUAUGUGCAAGAUAAAUAACCCAUAGAAAGAUGGGUAAUGGCUCUGAGCAAGCUCUCUGAGCAGAUAGACCAGAAACAAAUCUCAAGCCUGAAAAUCGUUGGCGAGGGUAAAUUAAAAUGACAGGAGCCACCAUUCCUCACCUAUCGAAAUGCUAAGGCGAAACAAAAGGGCCCCUGGUCACAUCCUGUGAAACAGAGCCGAGCAGGGAGAGGGCCCUGCGGUCAGUCCUGGUGAGUAUAAACCAGCACAGCUUUUUAGAAGGCAAUUUGGCCAUGCCUAUUAAAAUAAAAAAUGUGCAUGUUCUUAGACCCAGCAAAGACAAAUUCUAGAAAUAUCCUACCGGGAAACGGUCACGUGGUAAACCAAGAGGGCAUUUCAAGGAGCUUCUCUGCCACCAUCUGGAACUUCUCUCACAUUCACACACUCCAGCGCACACACGCGCGUGCGUGCAAGUGCGCAGACACACACACACAGAGGGAGAAAGAGAAUGAGAGGAUGAGAAAACUGGGGAGAAAGGGUCUGAAUGUGCAUUCCUCAGGAAUGUUUAAUGAGGUUCAUACUUUGGAAUACUAUACAGGAUUAAAAAGGACUCAGAGAGAUGGCUCCGUGUUUAAAAGCACUGGCUGUUCUUCCGGGGACCCACGUUCAAUUCCCUGUAUCCAUACGGUGGUUCCAGGGGAUAUGACGCCCUCUUCUGGCUUCCUCAGGUACCGCAUGCAUACAGUGCACAGACAUACAUACAGGCCAGACAAGUAAGCAUACAAUAAAAUAACUUUGAAAAAAAGGAUUUGGAGGCUAGAGAGAUGGCUCUGAUGUUAGAGCACAAACUUUUCUUGCAGGAGGACCCAAGUUCUGUUCCCAGCAUCCACUUUAGGUGGCUUAAAACAGCCUCUAAUCCCAGCUCUAAGGGAUCUGACAUGCUCUUCGGGCCUCCUCAAGCAUUACAUGUGUGCACAAAAGCCCCACUAGAAUAUACAAAUACUUAAAAAAAAACCAUAAAAAUAUGUUUUAAAAGAUUUGUAUUCACAAACAUGAAGCUAUACCUUUAGGUAGCACCAUGCAUGUGUCACAUAAACCUAUGGAAAAGCUCGAUGGGCUUAUUUAAAAACACAAGACACAAGCCAGAGAGAUGGCUCAGUGGCUGAGAGCGCUGUCUGCUCUUCCAAAGGACCUGGGUUCAAUUCCCAGCACCCACAUGGCAGCUCACAACAUAGUGUAAGCCCAAUUCCAAGAGAUCUGAUACCUUCACACUAAUGCACAUAAAAUAAAAUUAAUUAAAUUAUUAAAAAAACAAAUAAAAACACAAGGCACAACAUUCUUCUUGCUGUGCAUACCAAAAGGCACCAUUUGAAGCACGGGGAAAGAGACAGAGGCCCCUCCCCAGACUGUCGAAAUGCCUUUCUCUAGAAAGGGGAUGGGGAUUCGACAGUGCCCACAGAAGGCUUCUGUGUCAUUUGUAUCACUUGAACUCCUGAACUAGGGGGAUGUCUCAGUGGGGAAGGUCCUUACUGCUCACAAACUAGAGUUCAGGUUCCCAACCCCACAUAAAGACAAACCAGAGAGUCCUCAGAAGCCCGAGCUGGCCUGGUGACCCUGUCUCGAGUGGAAGGUGAGAACAACAGCCUGCCGUCCGCAGAUCUUCAGAGCCCCCCCCCGAUAUUCACACACAUGCACACACACAUACACAGAGACUAAAACAAUCCAAAAACAAUUAUUAAAAAUGUGCUCAUUAGUGGUGAAAUAAACAGCGUAAAAGGUAAAAAUAGCAGAGGUUUCACUUUCUAAAGAAGAAAACCCAGAGUGACACAUAGGGACCUCUUGUCCCGACUUUACUCCUGUCUCGCUUAGAGGGAAGAGUCUCCUGUAGAAAUCUGAAGCCCUGGGUUCAGAUGCUUCAACUCUAUCCCACCUCUGCCAAACUCAGGACGUGAGCCUCAAGGUCAUUUCCCAGUAAAGUGGAAAGGGUGGGAUGAGCAAACCUACAUGGCAGGUCCUCGCUCAGACUCUUGGUACAAGUUCGUUCUUAUUUUUAAAAGCAAGAACCUCUGGGCAGGCAAGAUAGCUUAGCAGGUAAAGUGCUUGCUGUCUGAGCCUGAAACCUGAAUUCCAUACCUGGAACCUACAUGGCGGAAGGAAGGAACUGCCUCCUGCAAGCACGGCCAAGCACGC
Long non-coding RNA from Meriones unguiculatus (Mongolian gerbil), 4041 nucleotides. RefSeq lists it as uncharacterized. The transcript is spliced from 3 exons. Lineage: Eukaryota; Metazoa; Chordata; Mammalia; Rodentia; Muridae. The record is from RefSeq and is a predicted model, not a curated record.